This 200-nucleotide ribosomal RNA is filed under the name uncultured bacterium. RNAcentral's name for it is "partial 16S ribosomal RNA". It matches the Rfam family "Bacterial small subunit ribosomal RNA", at positions 30 to 232 of the family's 1533-position model. The record is from RNAcentral.
AUUGAACGCUGGCGGCAGGCCUAACACAUGCAAGUCGAGCGCGAAAGUUCUUCGGAAUGAGUAAAGCGGCGGACGGGUGAGUAAUACAUGGGAAUCUGCCUGGUAGUGGGGGACAACGUUUCGAAAGGAACGCUAAUACCGCAUACGCCCUACGGGGGAAAGGGGGGGAUCUUCGGACCUCUCGCUAGUCAGAUGAGCCC